AGAACGAACGCUGGCGGCAUGCCUAAUACAUGCAAGUCGAACGAACUCUUCGGAGUUAGUGGCGCACGGGUGCGUAACGCGUGGGAAUCUGCCCCUUGGUUCGGAAUAACAGUUGGAAACGACUGCUAAUACCGGAUGAUGACGAAAGUCCAAAGAUUUAUCGCCAAGGGAUGAGCCCGCGUAGGAUUAGCUAGUUGGUGAGGUAAAGGCUCACCAAGGCAACGAUCCUUAGCUGGUCUGAGAGGAUGGAUACGAGCCACACGUGGGACUGAGACACGGCCCAGACUCCUACGGGAGCAGCAGUAGGGAAUAUUGGACAAGUGGGCGAAAGCCUGAUCCGAGACAAUGACCGCGUGAGUGAUGAAGCCUUAGGUAUAAAGCUACUUUACCGAGUAUGAUAAGUGACAGUAGUACGGA
Molecule: ribosomal RNA, 417 nt
Filed under: uncultured soil bacterium
Lineage: Bacteria
Description: bacterial SSU rRNA
Rfam family: Bacterial small subunit ribosomal RNA
Source: RNAcentral